This 23-nucleotide microRNA is filed under the name Eisenia fetida (common brandling worm). RNAcentral describes it as "Efe-Mir-2-P12g_3p (mature (guide))". The record is from RNAcentral. Lineage: Eukaryota; Metazoa; Annelida; Clitellata; Crassiclitellata; Lumbricidae.
UAUCACAGCCUGCUUGGAUUAUG